GUAUACAAAUUUAUAUGUGGUUUAUAUAAAGAGUAUAUCUCCAUAUAGUAUAAACGCAUUCAAUGUAUUUGCUGUUCGGCUGUUUGUUUGUUUUCUUGCUUUGUCGUUUGUUUGUUUGUGUUUAGCUCGCACAUCGUUUUCAAAAAUCGAAAUUGAAAUAUGAGCCCCGUUUGAUAUUUAUAUGGAACAGGGGAGUUGGGGUCGCAUACCUAUGUGAGCAUGAAUGUGUCUACAACGGCAAAGAGAUGUGGAGCCUGCACAUUACCAAUGCAAAGUUGAAAUAAAUGAAAAAGUGGGAAGUGGGAUGAACUCUGAACCGGGUGAAACGGUAUGUUUAACAUUAAAUCAACAAAUAUAUAAAAAGGCUAGCGGAUAUACCAAGGCCUUGCCCGUGGUAAGUUUUGUGCUUAGACGUUUGAAUACAAUUUUUUUUUAUCCAAUUCC
Molecule: long non-coding RNA, 444 nt
Organism: Drosophila montana
Lineage: Eukaryota; Metazoa; Arthropoda; Insecta; Diptera; Drosophilidae
Exons: 2
Source: RefSeq, a predicted model, not a curated record